AACGCUAGCUACAGGCUUAACACAUGCAAGUCGAGGGGCAGCAUUCUUAUAGCAAUAUAAGAGAUGGCGACCGGCGCACGGGUGAGUAACACGUAUCCAACCUGCCGACAACUCCGGAAUAACCCUUCGAAAGAAGGACUAAUACCGGAUAGCACCAAUAGAGGACAUCUUCUUUUGGUUAAAGAUUCAUCGGUUGUCGAUGGGGAUGCGUUCCAUUAGGCAGUUGGCGGGGUAACGGCCCACCAAACCAUCGAUGGAUAGGGGUUCUGAGAGGAAGGUCCCCCACAUUGGAACUGAGACACGGUCCAAACUCCUACGGGAGGCAGCAGUGAGGAAUAUUGGUCAAUGGGCGAGAGCCUGAACCAGCCAAGUAGCGUGAAGGAUGAAGGCUCUAUGGGUCGUAAACUUCUUUUAUAUGGGAAUAAAGUUUGCCACGUGUGGCAUUUUGUAUGUACCAUAUGAAUAAGGAUCGGCUAACUCCGUGCCAGCAGCCGCGGUAAUACGGAGGAUCCGAGCGUUAUCCGGAUUUAUUGGGUUUAAAGGGAGCGUAGGCGGAUUAUUAAGUCAGUUGUGAAAGUUUACGGCUCAACCGUGAAAUUGCAGUUGAUACUGGUAGUCUUGAGUGCAGUAGAGGUAAGCGGAAUUCGUGGUGUAGCGGUGAAAUGCUUAGAUAUCACGAAGAACUCCGAUUG
Molecule: ribosomal RNA, 692 nt
Filed under: uncultured bacterium
Lineage: Bacteria
Description: bacterial SSU rRNA
Rfam family: Bacterial small subunit ribosomal RNA
Source: RNAcentral